AAGUCGUAACAAGGUUUCCGUAGGUGAACCUGCGGAAGGAUCAUUACAAAAACAAAAUCCAAACCACACCACUGUGCUCUUUAUUGUGAGAAAAAUGUCUUUGUGUGUUGCUGUGUUGUUGGGGGAGAGGAGAAGAAUUUAUUUUUCCCCUUUCUUUCCUUCACACACACACACAAGCUUUUCCUCACAUGUCUUUGUUUUCAAUUUUUCAUUACUCCUUGUUUAACCAACAACGGAUUACAAUGUUAAAACUUGAAACAAACAAACAAAACAAAAUGACAACUUUUAACGGUGGAUCUCUUGGCUCGU
This 309-nucleotide unclassified non-coding RNA is filed under the name fungal sp. RNAcentral describes it as "partial internal transcribed spacer region". The stretch from base 1 to 46 matches the Rfam family "Eukaryotic small subunit ribosomal RNA", at positions 1786 to 1831 of the family's 1831-position model. Lineage: Eukaryota; Fungi. The record is from RNAcentral.